RNAcentral lists this ribosomal RNA (1241 nucleotides) under Halomonas sp. HL12. RNAcentral describes it as "bacterial SSU rRNA". It matches the Rfam family "Bacterial small subunit ribosomal RNA", at positions 24 to 1275 of the family's 1533-position model. The record is from RNAcentral. Lineage: Bacteria; Pseudomonadati; Pseudomonadota; Gammaproteobacteria; Oceanospirillales; Halomonadaceae.
CCGGGAAGGGCUGCAGCCUACACAUGCAAGUCGAGCGGUAACAGAUCCAGCUUGCUGGAUGCUGACGAGCGGCGGACGGGUGAGUAAUGCAUAGGAAUUUACCCGAUAGUGGGGGAUAACCUGGGGAAACCCAGGCUAAUACCGCAUACGUCCUACGGGAGAAAGGGGGCCUUGGCUCCCGCUAUCGGAUGAGCCUAUGCCGGAUUAGCUGGUUGGUGAGGUAAUGGCUCACCAAGGCGACGAUCCGUAGCUGGUCUGAGAGGAUGAUCAGCCACAUCGGGACUGAGACACGGCCCGAACUCCUACGGGAGGCAGCAGUGGGGAAUAUUGGACAAUGGGCGCAAGCCUGAUCCAGCCAUGCCGCGUGUGUGAAGAAGGCCCUCGGGUUGUAAAGCACUUUCAGCGAGGAAGAACGCCUGGCGGUUAAUACCCGCCAGGAAAGACAUCACUCGCAGAAGAAGCACCGGCUAACUCCGUGCCAGCAGCCGCGGUAAUACGGAGGGUGCAAGCGUUAAUCGGAAUUACUGGGCGUAAAGCGCGCGUAGGUGGCUUGAUAAGCCGGUUGUGAAAGCCCCGGGCUCAACCUGGGAACGGCAUCCGGAACUGUCAGGCUAGAGUGCAGGAGAGGAAGGUAGAAUUCCCGGUGUAGCGGUGAAAUGCGUAGAGAUCGGGAGGAAUACCAGUGGCGAAGGCGGCCUUCUGGACUGACACUGACACUGAGGUGCGAAAGCGUGGGUAGCAAACAGGAUUAGAUACCCUGGUAGUCCACGCCGUAAACGAUGUCGACCAGCCGUUGGGUGCCUAGCGCACUUUGUGGCGAAGUUAACGCGAUAAGUCGACCGCCUGGGGAGUACGGCCGCAAGUUAAAACUCAAAUGAAUUGACGGGGGCCCGCACAAGCGGUGGAGCAUGUGGUUUAAUUCGAUGCAACGCGAAGAACCUUACCUACUCUUGACAUCCUGCGAACUUGGUGAGAGAUAACUUAGUGCCUUCGGGAACGCAGAGACAGUGCUGCAUGGCUGUCGUCAGCUCGUGUUGUGAAAUGUUGGGUUAAGUCCCGUAACGAGCGCAACCCUUGUCCUUAUUUGCCAGCACGUAAUGGUGGGAACCUCUAAGGAGACUGCGUGACAACUGAGAAGGUGGGACGACGUCAAGUCAUCAUGGCCCUACGAGUAGGCUAACACACGUGCUACAAUGCGGUACAAGGCUGCCACUCGGGAGGUGAGAAUCUAAGCGGUUCAG